Molecule: ribosomal RNA, 167 nt
Filed under: uncultured bacterium
Lineage: Bacteria
Description: partial 16S ribosomal RNA
Rfam family: Bacterial small subunit ribosomal RNA
Source: RNAcentral
GCUUCGUAUGGGGGCACCUGACCGAGCACGCCGCGUGAGUGAAGAAGGUUUUCGGAUCGUAAAACUCUGUUGUUAGAGAAGAACGUUAAGUAGAGUGGAAAAUUACUUAAGUGACGGUAUCUAACCAGAAAGGGACGGCUAACUACGUGCCAGCAGCCGCGGUAAAU